Etheostoma spectabile (orangethroat darter) is the source of this 117-nucleotide long non-coding RNA. RefSeq lists it as uncharacterized. The record is from RefSeq and is a predicted model, not a curated record. Lineage: Eukaryota; Metazoa; Chordata; Actinopteri; Perciformes; Percidae. The transcript is spliced from 3 exons.
CGUACUGUCUUAAGUCCGUCUUUUUCCCGUCUUGACGUUCCGACGAAAUCAAACAUGUUUAAUAUUAUCAUACAUUUUAAGUCUUGGUAGUGAAGUUAAAUCGUGAACAUUGUCAAC